GUUAUGUGUAUAUGUAUGUGUAUCAUGUGCACAUAUACAUAAACACAUCCACAUUUAUAAGUUAAAUUAAUGAAAUAUUUUGUUUCCACAGUGUUCCAUAAUUGCCCCACUUUUUACAUAGCAUGUCAUACAUAUUACAUUCUUUUGAUAACUGUACAUACGAGUUGUAAAAUUUAUUCACUUUAUUUUUUAUCUUUUAAUCCCCUCCCCCCAAUAUUAUAUUUGUACAGUUUUGGAAAUAUUCAUAAAUGUCUGAUAUCCAUCAUAUCUGAUAUUAGCAAUGUAGUGUAGUUUACAAAAAAAAAGUAAUAAUAAAUGUAGAGGAUUGCCUCUGUUAACAAGUAGAAGGGGGAAAAAAUAACCCAUUUAAGCUCAUUAAUAAAUCAGUUUCUUUUUAUUAAAAAGAUAUUCUUUUUCAUUUACAUUUAAAUAUUCAUUUAUAUGUUUCAUUGUUUCAUAGAAUAGAUUUGUUAUUUAUUGUUGUUGUUAACCAUAAUAAUGCUUAUCAUUGUCAUAAUAAUAAUCAUCACCUUCAUCAUCAUCAUUAUCCUAUACAAUUUUAUCAACUAUUUUAUGCUGAUGACACUUCUGAUGAUAAUGAAAUUUAUUCAGCCAGAUUGGGCAAUAAAUGAUUUUCAAAAGUUUCUAACUAUUUUGCCAUUGGCUGGAUGCUUUAGCACUUUUGUGAUUCUCUUAUUGUCAUGUUUUUACAACCCUUUACCAUCAAUUGUUGACAAAAAUUUGUUCCGAAGUUUUGUGUCAUACAUGUUACCUUAACAUUGUAAAUAAUCCUUAUUCAACAUAAAUAAGUAUUUUGUCUCUCUCUCUCUCCUCCUU
Octopus sinensis (East Asian common octopus) is the source of this 837-nucleotide long non-coding RNA. RefSeq lists it as uncharacterized. Lineage: Eukaryota; Metazoa; Mollusca; Cephalopoda; Octopoda; Octopodidae. The transcript has 3 exons. The record is from RefSeq and is a predicted model, not a curated record.